This 1495-nucleotide long non-coding RNA is filed under the name Carica papaya (papaya). RNAcentral describes it as "long non-coding RNA (CPAP_LNC014293)". The record is from RNAcentral. Lineage: Eukaryota; Viridiplantae; Streptophyta; Magnoliopsida; Brassicales; Caricaceae.
AAUAUAAUAAAAUAAGAUUUUUAACUAAAUAAGAAAUAAAAUAAUAAACUAAUGACAAACCUAUUUCAGUAGUUCUUAAAUAAGCUUAAUAUCCCAAUAAUACAUAAUUAUUGUGGCUACAUGAGUACUCCAUAAAAUUAAAACAUAUCAAUCAUAGGGCCUUUAAAUAAGCUUAAUAUCAUAAUAAUACAUAACUAUUGUAACUACACAAAUAUUCCAUAAUAUUGAAAUAUACCAAUCCAAGUGUCUUUUUGUUUUGCAUCACUCUUUCUUUUGGAGGGAUACCUGAUCUUCCUUUUGUAUUCUCAUCAUUCUUAAUAAUAUUUUUUCUUUUGCCACCAAAAAAAAAAACUACUACAUUUUUAAUAGAAGUACUUUUUAAACUAUUGUAUUUCUAUAUUCUAUCAUAAUUUUAUUGGCCAUACAUGAUAAAGUGUAUCAAAAGUACUUUCCUUUUUAUAAUACCCUACUCAUCUUUUAAUAAUACAUAACUAUCGUAACUACACAAACAUUCCAUAUAUGUUGAAAUAUACCAAUCCUAGGGUCUUCUUGUUUUGCAUUACUUGUUCUUUUGAAGGAUACCUGGUCUUCCUUUUCUAUUCUCAUCAUUCUUAAUAAUAUUUUUUCUUUUGCCACGAAAAAAAAGAACUAUUAUAUUUUUAAUAGUGCUUUCUUAAACUAUUGUAUUUCUAUAUUCUAUCAAAAUUAUAUUGGUCAUCUAUGAUAAAGGGUAUCAAAGGUACAUUCUUAAAAUACGCUACUCAUCUUUUACGCAAAAUGUAUCCCAAAUAUGUAGGAUAAGAGUCUUACUAGUGGCUACCUUAACCUACCUAUCCAACUAUCCUAGUGUCCCCCACCUUACCCACAAUGCCAAACAUGGCCUCAACUUACAAAAAGAAAUUACCAUUUUAUUAGAUUCCAUCAGAAAAUCAAUUCAACAAGAGCAAAAAAGCACUAAGCAUGGAGUGCAGAAACUUCUUUCAGCAUAAGUCAACCACUAGAAAUCUAUAAAUAUUAGGUCAGGAAAAAGCAUAGGUUGUUUUUUGAGUUUCUUGUCCCUAAAUCAGAGGAGGCUAUUUCUCAUACAGAGAAAUUUUGAAAAUAACAUGCUUAGAGAUGCAAAAGAUUGUUCUUACCUGCUGUGGGAUCAAUCACAAACAAUAUUGAAGCCAAAUAAUUAAGUUCUAAUUUCUUUAAACAAAAACCAUAAGAUCACGUUGACUCUUUUUUAAAAGAACAAUUAUUAUUAGAACUUAGAAGGGCGAAAAAGAAAUUACAAACUAAAAGACCUUAACCCAUCCUCCAAAAGAAAAAGAAAGUAAAAAGCACUGUUAAUAUAAGAUAGCAACCUAAUCCCUUUUCGUGUGGAUAAACAAGUUCCCCAAAAAGAAACCAUGGGCUACUCAGAGAAAUGCAUAAAACACAAUCCUCUAACAAAUAUUCAUCAAAUGAUUGAGACCUUAGCUUAAAGUUCUUGCACUUCCCUCCAACAAAA